Molecule: ribosomal RNA, 443 nt
Filed under: uncultured bacterium
Lineage: Bacteria
Description: bacterial SSU rRNA
Rfam family: Bacterial small subunit ribosomal RNA
Source: RNAcentral
CGCGAAGAACCUUACCUAGGCUUGACAUGUAUUGCUAAGCGCGUGAAAGCGCGUGAGCCUUCGGGCGCCUUACACAGGUGCUGCAUGGCCGUCGUCAGCUCGUGUCGUGAGAUGUUUGGUUAAGUCCAGCAACGAGCGCAACCCCUGUGAUUAGUUNCCAGCAAGUAAAGUUGGGGACUCUAGUCAGACUGCCCAGGUCAACUGGGAGGAAGGUGGGGAUGACGUCAGGUCAGUAUGGCCCUUACGCCUAGGGCUGCACACGUACUACAAUGCCCAGUACAAUGAGAACCGAUACCGCGAGGUGGAGGAAAUCUGUAAAACUGGGCCCAGUUCGGAUUGGAGGCUGCAACUCGCCUCCAUGAAGUCGGAAUCGCUAGUAAUGGCACAUCAGCUACGGUGCCGUGAAUACGUUCCCGGGUCUUGUACACACCGCCCGUCACAUC